RNAcentral lists this unclassified non-coding RNA (250 nucleotides) under plant metagenome. RNAcentral's name for it is "partial contains small subunit ribosomal RNA, internal transcribed spacer 1, and 5.8S ribosomal RNA". The stretch from base 190 to 250 matches the Rfam family "5.8S ribosomal RNA", at positions 1 to 54 of the family's 154-position model. The record is from RNAcentral.
GUAGGUGAACCUGCGGAAGGAUCAUUACCGAGUUCAUGCCCUCACGGGUAGAUCUCCCACCCUUUGUAUACCUUACCUUUGUUGCUUUGGCGGGCCGCCUAGCUACUGGCUUCGGCUGGUAAGUGCCCGCCAGAGAACCCCAAACCCAAACCAUUUAUAGUGUCGUCUGAGUAAAAUUUUAAUAUUUAAAACUUUCAACAACGGAUCUCUUGGCUCUGGCAUCGAUGAAGAACGCAGCAUCUGACUGACU